RNAcentral lists this long non-coding RNA (413 nucleotides) under Trifolium pratense (red clover). RNAcentral's name for it is "long non-coding RNA (TPRA_LNC012050)". Lineage: Eukaryota; Viridiplantae; Streptophyta; Magnoliopsida; Fabales; Fabaceae. The record is from RNAcentral.
GCCAAACAGAACACAGAGUGAUAUAAAAUUAUAGGACUAAUGGUAUAUUAUUUGAUCACUGAAUUGACCAAAAUCUUAUCACAUUCAUUAAUUAAAUUAAAUAAUACUAUUAUAGUAUAAUUGUGUUUCUUUUUCAUAGAAUGACCUAUCAGAUCGGACUAUGUGAAAACUAUGUGAAAUUUGUUGGAAACUAUGUAAAAUAAGAAAUUGUAAAAUCAAAAAAAUUAGACUUAAAAAUAAAAAAGAAGCAAGAUUUACAUUAUUGAUGAUCAUGAUUUAUUUUUCAAAUGGUGAAAAAUUUAUUGAUACAUUCUUUUAUAUCACAUGAGCAAUUAAGAUACCUGCACACAAUCAUCUCUCACUAAUCAACAGGGUUUCCCAUGCAUGUUUUCUUUAACCUUGCUAACUCUCUA